Non-coding RNA from Dipodomys ordii (Ord's kangaroo rat), 69 nucleotides. The record is from Rfam. Lineage: Eukaryota; Metazoa; Chordata; Mammalia; Rodentia; Heteromyidae.
GGGAAUGUGGCUCAGUAGUAGAGCACUUGCCUUGCAUGCAUGAGGCCCGGGUUCGAUUCCUCAGCACCA